This 500-nucleotide ribosomal RNA is filed under the name uncultured bacterium. RNAcentral's name for it is "partial 16S ribosomal RNA". It matches the Rfam family "Bacterial small subunit ribosomal RNA", at positions 28 to 523 of the family's 1533-position model. The record is from RNAcentral.
GACGAACGCUGGCGGCGUGCCUAAUACAUGCAAGUCGAGCGGACCUCUUCGGAGGUCAGCGGCGGACGGGUGAGUAACACGUGGGCAACCUGCCUGUAAGACUGGGAUAACUCCGGGAAACCGGAGCUAAUACCGGAUACUAUGUCAAACCGCAUGGUUUGACAUUCAAAGACGGUUUCGGCUGGCACUUACAGAUGGGCCCGCGGCACAUUAGCUAGUUGGUGAGGUAACGGCUCACCAAGGCGACGAUGCGUAGCCGACCUGAGGGGGUGAUCGGCCACACUGGGACUGAGACACGGCCCAGACUCCUACGGGAGGCAGCAGUAGGGAAUCUUCCGCAAUGGACGAAAGUCUGACGGAGCAACGCCGCGUGAGUGAUGAAGGUUUUCGGAUCGUAAAACUCUGUUGUCAGGGAAGAACAAGUGCCGGAGUAACUGCCGGCGCCUUGACGGUACCUGACCAGAAAGCCACGGCUAACUACGUGCCAGCCGCCGCGGUAA